RNAcentral lists this long non-coding RNA (3798 nucleotides) under Homo sapiens (human). RNAcentral's name for it is "HSALNT0003004". Lineage: Eukaryota; Metazoa; Chordata; Mammalia; Primates; Hominidae. The record is from RNAcentral.
CACUGGCCAGUUGGGAAUUAGAGGAGAGGUAUUUGUUUGGCAGGGGGCGUGGGAAGGGCAUAUUUUGAUGGAAGUUUUUUCUAGUGCACUGGUCAGGAUCUCAAACUCAGAUUCCUCUCUACGGCCUCAGUUUCCCUGUGUGUGAAUGGAAAUCGCUGUACCUGCCUGGCACAGUGGGUUUCCGCCGGGAGGGGGGCUGCAGGCCGCGGGCCGUGUCUGACCUGAAUUCUUACACUUACAGGAAAUUAGAGCCCUUGGAAGCAGGUGCGCUGGGAUCCUAACACUCGGGUGGCCGAGAGGGCGAUGUGGCUGAGGCAACAGGGAAAGGGGGCUGGACUGGGCUGGGGGCUGGAGGAGGGGCCAGUCCCGAGGGGACGGGGCUCCAACCUCACCUUCCUGCUGUCGUGGAGAAGAAAAGUGGUAAUGACCGCUACUGUGCACUGGGCUCUCGCUCUGUGCUUUGCUUGUGUUUGCUCAGUUAAUCCUCCCAACAUGCCUCUAAGGGUUCUUCUCAGCCACCGUCAACAACCCCAGCUGCUACCAAGGUGCAAGAACACACAGGCUGCUGUGAAAGGACUGUAGGGGGCAAGGGCAGAGGAAGGGGCCAGCCAGGAGGCUUCCAAAAUAAUCCAGGCAGGAGAGGAUGGUGGCCUGGACAAGGGUGGCAGGUGGAGGAAACUGGCUGGAUUCCAGAAAUUCUCCCAUUUCGGCACCCAGACUCCAUGCAGAGUAGAAAUGGAUGCUCUUGGCUGGGUGCGGGGGCUUGUGCCUGUCAUCCCAGCACUUUGGGAGGCUGAGGCAGGUGAAUCAUGAAGUCAGGAGAUCGAGACCAUCCUGGCUAAUACAGUGAAACCCUGUCUCUACUAAAAAUACAAAAAAUUAGCCGGGUGUGGUGGCACGCGCCUGUAGUCCCAGCUACUCAAGAGGCUGAGGCAGGAGAAUCGCUUGAACCAGGGAGGCGGAGGUUGCAGUGAGCUGAGAUCAGGCCACUGCACUCCAGCCUGGGUGACAGAGAGAGACUCUGUCUCAAAAAAAAAAAAAAAAAGAUGCUCUUGAAUUUGAGUUCUGAAAUUUUGCAUCCUGUUCCCCAUGUGGCGGCCCAGCCAUUUUUCCCUUAGGGUGAGUGGGCCUGUGAAACCAGGAGAGCGCUGCUGUGCGUCUAGUCGUCGGGGGCAUAUUGAUCGAUUUAUUUGACCCUCUGCAGGAGGUGUGCUGAAUGUCCCAUUCCCCGGUGCUGCCAGCUCCUCAGAGCUCUGAUCACAAGCGCUUGCCCAGUGCCUGGCAUAGAGGCGGCCAUAGCUGGACUCCUACCCUGUUCCAGAUGAGGAAACUGCCGCUCAGAGACGGCAGCCGACCCAGCCAAGGCCGCACAGCCAGGAUUCAAAGCCAUACCGCUCAGCUCCUGCCUCCAGGCUCUGCCUUUGCAUGUGGCUUCUCCUGGCUCCUGGACCCUUCCCCGGCCCUCCCAGCUGGCUGUGCUGUGACAGUGGGCGGGGGAGUGCCAAGGCUCUGCCCUGCCCCCCGCCCUUGGCAUCUCCGGUCAAUAUGGCACUCACAGCUCCCUGGGCAUGGACCCCCUCCUGCCAUCCCCACUUAAAGUGAUACUUUAAUAAAUUAUGCUUUUAUGUUAUUACACGUGGAGCUAUAAAAGCAGAGAGUGUGCGGCCGGGCUGAGGUAAGGCGCCCGCGACUUUCCAAUUUCCUGGUCUGGCCUGGCUCUGCUCCGCACCGUGAAUUUUUCAUUAAUGUGCACAGGUGACGCCACGGGGCAGCCGCAGGCCAGGUAGGCUCCCACGGCGGCAAGGCCUGGGCUGGACCUUGCUGGGCUGGGCUGGGCUGGGGAUGGCACAGCGGGUUUUGUACCAACAAGGAUUAGAAAUAGCAUCACGCUGCGGCUCAAGAUCAUGCCCUGGAUUUAAAUAGCCAGGGCGGCCAGGCACAGUGGCUCACGCCUGUAAUCCCAGCACUUUGGGAGUCCAAGGCAGAAGGAUCUCUCCAGCCCAAGAGUUCAAGGGCAGCCUGGUUAACAUAGCGAGACCCUGUCACUACAAAAAAUUUUUAAAAAUUAGCUGGGCAUGGUGGCAUGUGCCUGCAGUCCCAGCUACUCGGGAGGCUGAGGUGGAGGGAUGGCUUGAGCCUGGGAGUUGAGGUUGCAGUGAGCUAGGAUCACACCACUGCACUCCAGCCUGGGCGACACAGCAAGACCCUGUCUCAAAUAAACAAACAAAUAAGCACACACAAGAACUAGAAACCCCCUGUGUCUAGAGGAAGGAAGGGGCGUCCACUGGCCUGUGCCAGACUCUGGGCCGGCGUUUGUUGCACAUGACCUCAUUUCACCCUCAGAAGGCCAUGAGAUAGCCUUAUGCACCCCACUUGAUGGAUGAGGAAAGUGGGGCUCUGUUGGUGAGUGAGUGGCGGUGUCAGCUCUGAACCCAGCCAGUCUGAUUCUAGAACCUGAGUUCCUAACUGCUAGGCUGUUCUCAUUCAUUCCUUUCUCCCUCCUCUUCUCCCCCACGUCUGUGGGUCCUUUCCAUGUAGUCAUAGUUACAGAGGCAAUGGACACAUUGAAGAGAGGAAAGAAAACAAACACGACCUAGAAUCUACGGGGAAGGAAGCCUUCUAGACUCCAGACCUUCCGUGUCCAGAAGUGUCAGUCUUCACAUCUGUGAGGUGGGGCCAAGGAGUCCUGCCCUGCCAUGCUGGGUGUUGACUUCGGGGAAGGGGCCUUGGGAUGUCUAUGAGGAUGCAGCUGCUGCCUUCUGUCUUGGCAGAGACCAUGGCCACCCCAGGACACCGUGUUUGGUCCCCGCUGUGCUAAGUCUCCUCCAGGCACCAGCCAGGCAUCAGUGGAGCACAGCGGAAAUGGGUCCAAAGCCACCCACAGAGGCUCUGUGUGGUUCUUGGAUAAUUCUGGAAGGCUCUAGAGAAGGCAACAAGAAGGCAGGAACCCAGGGCCAGAAACUGGACAACUUGUGUGUGUUUGUCUGUAAAGUGGGGCUAGGAAUCCGCGUGGGGGUCAAAUGAGAACAGCUCUGCCUCCCAGCGCACAGUCCCGCGUCGAGGUCAGAGAGCCUCUUAGGCCCUGGCUCUUUUGGGAAAUCAUCCCAGGGGCUAAAGACAAAACUGAAGUUGAAAUAAACAUGGGGGUCCAAACACUCCAGAAUUCUGAGUGAGGGAAUCUCCUCCCAGGCUUCCACGCCAGGCCCGAAUGCAAACAAGAGGCAGCAGGGGUGGCUUGGGCCCCUCACACAGAAUUAGUGAGAUUAGCUGAGAACCAGAGCCCAGCAGAUGUCCCCUCUCUGGACUCGGUGACUCACUUGCCUCCCUGGUUGAGAAUCGUAUCCGGCUGGGCCUGAGCUGUCCUGGCUGGCGGGGAGCUGGACGCAGGGCAGAGGUCGGGGUAAACACCCGUGCUCCAGGCGGGAGGUCGGGAUGGGGGUGGUGACAAGGAGGACAACAUUUCCACUCAGCAGAAAGAAGAGCCUGAGCUGCCCUAGAGCCGGAGGCGCUGCCUGGAGAGGUCGUGAGGACCCGGUCCCAGAGGUGUGCAAGCUGGGUACCCUUUGAAGACUAUAGGAGGAUUCCAGUUGGCGCUGGGAGUACUCCAGGCAGGAUGCCAGUUCAGGUCCUUCGUGCAUGAGACUCUCCCAGAGAGGCAGGCAAACAUUUUCUGGGAAGGGCCAGAUAGUAAAUAUUUCAGGUUUUGCGGGUCAUCCUGCUAUCUCUGUUGCAACUGCUCAACUCUGCCACUGUAGCUUGGAAGCAGCUACAGACAAUACAUAAAUGAAUGGAUGUGGG